AUCUACCUAGUAGUGGGGACAACUCGGGGAAACUCGAGCUAAUACCGCAUACGCCUACGGGGAAAGCGGGGACCUUCGGGCCUCGUGCUAUUAGAUGAGCCUGCGUUGGAUUAGCUAGUUGGUGGGGUAAAGGCCUACCAAGGCGACGAUCCAUAGCUGGUCUGAGAGGAUGAUCAGCCACACCGGGACUGAGACACGGCCCGGACUCCUACGGGAGGCAGCAGUGGGGAAUAUUGCGCAAUGGGCGAAAGCCUGACGCAGCCAUGCCGCGUGUGUGAAGAAGGGCUUCGGGUUGUAAAGCACUUUCAAUUGGGAGGAAAGGGUCACGGUUAAUAACCGUGAGCUGUGACGUUAC
This 355-nucleotide ribosomal RNA is filed under the name uncultured Gammaproteobacteria bacterium. RNAcentral's name for it is "bacterial SSU rRNA". It matches the Rfam family "Bacterial small subunit ribosomal RNA", at positions 124 to 478 of the family's 1533-position model. The record is from RNAcentral. Lineage: Bacteria; Pseudomonadati; Pseudomonadota; Gammaproteobacteria.